This 947-nucleotide ribosomal RNA is filed under the name Triticum aestivum (bread wheat). RNAcentral's name for it is "partial small subunit ribosomal RNA". The record is from RNAcentral. Lineage: Eukaryota; Viridiplantae; Streptophyta; Magnoliopsida; Poales; Poaceae.
UGUGUGAAAACGCUUUUGGAGGAGGCCUAUCUCGGUAUACAGGGCAGGAGGUUGGGAUCCUAGUCCUCUAAGAGAGGGGCGGCGGCGGCUACCGGUCCUCCUACGCCGCUGCGUGACGACGGGUGGACAAGGAACUUCCUAGUGGCCGCAGCGCGAGGAGUUUCGUUGACGUUACCUGCUGCUUUUAGUUACCGGUGAGGUCGAGGGUACACAGUUAGUGGCCGGCAACGACGAAGGAGGAUCAAGUAGUCUUCCUGGUGUAGCGGCUGUCAGGGUACGCCGUUCUAGGAGGUCGUUGCGAACAGAAGCACGUGUCCGCGCACCAGCGCGUUGUCCAAGACAUCAACCGCCGGAACUGACAUGGUCGUCCUUGCUUUAUAUUACGGAAGAUAAAGAGAUUGGGUCACCGUCUCACCGUCACAUCGAACUAUCGAAGACCUCAUACGGACCUCGAUAUACCUAUAUAUGACGUGAACAACAACAAGUAGUCUCAAUCAGACUGGACGACUUGGCUACACUAAUUUUUCGUCGGAUUACUCUUCUCGGAAACAAGUCGACUGCCGUGUUGUUAGAGGCCGCGACGCCAACGUAGGUGUCCAACGACAAGAUACUAUAAAACGACUUAUUAAACAGGUUAACAUACCAAUACCGACAUGGAUAAAAAGCGUUCGACAACAUACCUACAUGAAACCAAUCUUACCUUGCUUGUCUGGAAAUUAGUACAGUCAACUUCUCCCCACGGACACCUGAGUAGGUUCCGACGUAGUUAACAACUAAGUACCUCGACUCGUCCUGCUACAAUGGUGACUUCGAAGUCCGCUGACAACCGGAGAAGGAACGACAAUUAAUCAAAAGAUCAUUAAACAACAACUAGCGAACUAGCAAAGAGAGAGGGACUUAAAUACAACAUGGAUAUGUGAUAACAAGAGGUCGUUACUUUUACGCCG